GUCACUGAUUAGCACCAGUUUAAAGAUUUUAAGUCAUUUUAAUAAUUGGUUUGCACCUCUGGCCAUCGGACUCUCCGUAGGGCUGGGACACUUCACCGGGCCAGGGGAGGCCAGCAGUGUUUUCCCCUGAUAGGGGUUUACAGGUCCGCUACACAGGAUGCAGUAUGAUUCCAGCUCGAUCCUUUGGGCCGGCGGUUAUAAUGCAGUCUUUUGAUGAUCAUUGGGUAUUUUGCUGG
This is a long non-coding RNA of Platichthys flesus (European flounder), 236 nucleotides long. RefSeq lists it as uncharacterized. Lineage: Eukaryota; Metazoa; Chordata; Actinopteri; Pleuronectiformes; Pleuronectidae. The transcript is spliced from 3 exons. The record is from RefSeq and is a predicted model, not a curated record.